AACGAACGCUGGCGGCGUGGAUUAGGCAUGCAAGUCGAACGCAUCAUUUAGCUUUUUCGAAUGAUGAGUGGCGAAAGGGUGAGUAACGCGUGGGCAACCUGCCCUAAGGUGGGGGAUAACCUGUCGAAAGACGGGCUAAUACCGCUUAAGCUUCCGGACUGAGAUGUUCGGAAGGAUAGAUGGGGAUCUCUUCGGAGACCUGUCGCCUUUGGAUGGGCCCGCGUCCUAUCAGCUAGUUGGUGAGGUAAUGGCUCACCAAGGCUAAGACGGGUAGCUGGUCUGAGAGGAUGGUCAGCCACACUGGGACUGAGACACUGCCCAGACACCUACGGGUGGCUGCAGUCGAGAAUCUUCCGCAAUGGGGCAACCCUGACGAGCGACGCCGCGUGCAGGAUGAAGGUCUUCGG
Molecule: ribosomal RNA, 407 nt
Filed under: uncultured bacterium
Lineage: Bacteria
Description: bacterial SSU rRNA
Rfam family: Bacterial small subunit ribosomal RNA
Source: RNAcentral